GACUUAUGAAGAAAUUGAUGAUGUCCAGAAUGCUAUUGUGAAUGGCCGAGUGAGAAGAAGUGGGAAUAAGAGGGAAGAUGAAGACAUGGGCAUUAUGGACAUUUCACGCGUGGUCAGUUUCUUUAAGGGCAAAAAUGUCAUUGCAAUUGCCAUCUGCUGACGUGUCCUGACAAAAAGCCAGUCGCUAGUUGCCACAUAUCUAAUUACCAUCCACCUCAGUAAUUUUUUUUAAUUAGGACGAAUUUUAAAAUGAUUAAUAUUUGCAGGGGCAAAAUGGGAGGAUUAGUAAGUUCAUGGAUGAAAAAUCAAAUGGCCUAUCAUUGCAGGGAUGAAAAGCAU
This 339-nucleotide long non-coding RNA is filed under the name Medicago truncatula (barrel medic). RNAcentral describes it as "long non-coding RNA (MTRU_LNC004161)". Lineage: Eukaryota; Viridiplantae; Streptophyta; Magnoliopsida; Fabales; Fabaceae. The record is from RNAcentral.